This 605-nucleotide unclassified non-coding RNA is filed under the name uncultured fungus. RNAcentral describes it as "sequence contains ITS1, 5.8S rRNA gene and ITS2". The stretch from base 236 to 389 matches the Rfam family "5.8S ribosomal RNA". The record is from RNAcentral. Lineage: Eukaryota; Fungi.
CUUGGUCAUUUAGAGGAAGUAAAAGUCGUAACAAGGUCUCCGUUGGUGAAUCAGCGGAGGGAUCAUUACAGAGUUGCAAAACUCCCAAACCAUUGUGAACGUUACCUAAACCGUUGCUUCGGCGGGCGGCCCGGGUCCUUCCCGGCGCCCCUCGGCCCUCGCGGGCGCCCGCCGGAGGUAAACCAAACUAUUGCAUUGUAUGGCCUCUCUGAGUCUUCUGUACUGAAUAAGUCAGAACUUUCAACAACGGAUCUCUUGGUUCUGGCAUCGAUGAAGAACGCAGCGAAAUGCGAUAAGUAAUGUGAAUUGCAGAAUUCAGUGAAUCAUCGAAUCUUUGAACGCACAUUGCGCCCGCCAGUAUUCUGGCGGGCAUGCCUGUUCGAGCGUCAUUUCAACCAUCAAGCCCCCGGCUUGUGUUGGGGACCUGCGGCUGCCGCAGGCCCUGAAAAGCAGUGGCGGGCUCGCUGUCACACCGAGCGUAGUAGCAUACAUCUCGCUCUGGGCGUGCUGCGGGUUCCGGCCGUAAAACCACCUUCAUAACCCAAGGUCGACCUCGGAUCAGGUAGGAAGACCCGCUGAACUUAAGCAUAUCAAUAAGCGGAGGA